AUUCCAGGUCCAGGAAUGUUCAGAAAAAUAAAUCAACAAAAAGGUGCUGAAACACGUGGAAACAAAAGGGCUUUUUGCCACCCAAACCAGGAUUCACACAGUGACCUCACACACUCGAAUGUGUCCCCUGCACAGCUCCUUCCCUGGGUGACCAAAGGCAAUCCCAGCAGGGUGUGUGUAACCCCCUGCCACCAGUGAUUCAGCACCUGGAUGGACUCACUGGCUCAGCCCACGUGUGUCACUUGUUGAGAAGCUUUUUGCUUGCCCAGUGACUGUCUCCCUGUCUGUGCUGAUCCCUGCUGAAACAACGUGCCUGAGAGGACAGCAGGAGAGAGCCUACAGAGACUUCCAGAUGCACAGAGCAUCUUGAUGUCUACCCUGAGAACACCUCUUUGAACCGUUUUGUUGCGAGGUUCUUCCUCUUCUGCAGUCCCUCACUUUUAGUGCUUCUUCUGUCAUGUUGAUCUUUUAUGGGUGUCUGUACUCCGGGCUUUGACAGGAGGUUGCUGAGGGUGUGAAAAAACAUUUGGCAGGGCCCUGUGUCACUCAGCACUGGCCAUGAGGAACAAUGCCAGACAUUUGCUGCUGGAGCAAGAGGAAAUCUGUUCAGCUGAGGCCUCUGAAGGUACUUAGCAGGAGCUGGAAGAUACAAAUAGGGAAAAUGAGGGGAGUGGCACAGAUUAAGGAAGUUUAUGGGAGGAAAAGGAACUACAAGUUGGGGAUGAGGAAAACUCCCUUCUUCUGACUCUCUAGGUGCUGAGUCUUGGGGUUCCCUAUGACUUUCUUGUUCCUUUAGCCUGUCAGCUCGGUGUGCUUAAGUGAUUUUCUGGCAACAGAUCUGGAGAGUGAGACAGGAGCCAAAACAGAAACACAGCAGGAAGUAAGGGAGCAAACAGAAAGGAGGUUUGUGGACAGGUACUUGAAAUGUGCUGUUCUUUAAAUGCCAGGAAAGUGGAUCAGAUUUAGGGCCAGAAAAAGGAGAGAGAGUGGUGAGAAAUGUUGAAAAAAGGAAAGUUUGCUAUUGCUGGUCCUUCUACCACAUGUUCAAAGAACAAACAGUCCAAAGUAGAAUGAAGGCACUGUGUCUCCUGGGGUACUUUGUUAAUGGCAGGAGAUUUAGCUCCUGGCAGUUUGUACUGUCUGUGCAGCAGCCCUUGCCCUAAACUUGGUGAGGCAACGCUUGUGUUACUGCCAUUACCUGUGUGUCUCACAGAGCCUGAGUCAACAACGUGUUGCUGCAUCAGCACAGAGAGAAGGUGCUGAGCAAGACACCGGCUUUACAACGCUGUGGCAGAAAGGAAAUUUUGCUGGGUAAAAAGGGACAAUCAAGUCCCAUUUCUGAUUCUGCCAGCCUCCCCUCCAAGAGACACAUUUCCAAGUGCAAGCGAGGGAAGAGCCCACAUUCUCUCAAAGCCCAAACCUCACGAGAGCUGAGGGAGCCCAACUUUGCGCUGAAGAAGAAAGACGCAAGACAGGAGU
Molecule: long non-coding RNA, 1479 nt
Organism: Neopelma chrysocephalum (saffron-crested tyrant-manakin)
Lineage: Eukaryota; Metazoa; Chordata; Aves; Passeriformes; Pipridae
Exons: 4
Source: RefSeq, a predicted model, not a curated record